This 275-nucleotide ribosomal RNA is filed under the name uncultured bacterium. Its description in RNAcentral is "partial 16S ribosomal RNA". It matches the Rfam family "Bacterial small subunit ribosomal RNA", at positions 80 to 354 of the family's 1533-position model. The record is from RNAcentral.
CGUUACGGGUCCGGACCGGCGCACGGGUGAGUAACGCUAUCCAACCUGCCCUUUACUAUGGGACAGCCCGUCGAAAGGCGGAUUAAUACCGUAUGUUGUCAUGUUGAUGCAUAUUUUCAUGACCAAAGGCUUCGGCCGGUAAAGGAUGGGGAUGCGUCUGAUUAGCUUGCCGGCGGGGUAACGGCCCACCGGGGCGACGAUCAGUAGGGGUUCUGAGAGGAAGGUCCCCCACAUUGGAACUGAGACACGGUCCAAACUCCUACGGGAGGCAGCAG